This 452-nucleotide ribosomal RNA is filed under the name uncultured bacterium. RNAcentral describes it as "bacterial SSU rRNA". It matches the Rfam family "Bacterial small subunit ribosomal RNA", at positions 28 to 521 of the family's 1533-position model. The record is from RNAcentral.
GACGAACGCUGGCGGUGUGCUUCACACAUGCAAGUCGAACGAGGUAGCAAUACCUAGUGGCGGACGGGUGAGUAACGCGUGGGAAUCUGCCUUUAGAUGGGGGGAUAACGGGUCGAAAGACUCGCUAAUACCGCAUAUGACGAAAGUUGAAAGGAGUAAUCCGUCUAAAGAUGAGCCCGCGUCCGAUUAGCUAGUUGGUAGAGUAAAAGCCUACCAAGGCGACGAUCGGUAGCUGGUCUGAGAGGAGUGAUCAGCCACAAUGGGACUAGAGACACGGCCCACUAACUCCUACGGGAGGCAGCAGUGGGAAGUUUUACGCAAUGGCGAAAGCCUGACGUAGCGACACCGCGUGAGCGAAGAAGCCCCUGGGUGUAAAGCUCUGUCAGCUGGAACGAAAAAAUGACGGUACCAGCAGAGGAAGCAUCGGCUAACUACGUGCCAGCAGCCGCGGU